Non-coding RNA from Microcebus murinus (gray mouse lemur), 875 nucleotides. The record is from RefSeq and is a predicted model, not a curated record. NCBI's taxonomy places the organism in Eukaryota, Metazoa, Chordata, Mammalia, Primates, Cheirogaleidae.
AGUUGUGUUUUUUUUUUUUAAAGUGUGCUUAUUGCAAAAGAUUGCUUAGAAAAGCAAAUGCUUUGGGUUUCUGCUGGAUGCAUGCUCUGUUCUAGAAAAAAAAAGUCCCUUCAAAAUGAUGGAAAGGAGGCUUUAGUAAUGCAUGAAUGAUUAUAACUCUCGUAUUUUACCAAUCACAAGAGGAAACAGAUUUAAACAGCCACGUAAUCUGGUCUGCCUCACCACGAACGAGGUGCCCUGCUAAACACCACACGAUCAGCCUUCUCUGACCACAGUGAUGUAGUUGACAACAGCGUACAACAGGUCUGUUUUCUCACCCUCUUAUCCCACCCAGAUAACAUCUGGUUGGACAGCCUAUUAGCUAUUGAUGCAAGAAUGCUUGUUCUCAGAGCCACCAGGACUUGAGCGGGAGCCUUCUUGGAAGCCUCAUCAAGAGCUAUAGGUCGGGAAUAGUGGGCAGGAGCAUCAGCGAAGAGUUGGCGUGAGAACCGAACAGCACCACAGAAUAGAAGGCAAGAGGGAAAACAAGCGUCUUGGAGGAAGAAAAUACUGCUGCCUGGUACCCCCUGGUGCCCAGAGAUACCCGGUCUAUUGUGCUUACAACACUCGCGAGGUCAACAGGGAGAGAGCCCGAAGAAUUGCAGGCUUCAGUGGCGACAAGUUCAGGCAAUCACGGGAAAGAGAGUGGGCCCCUUCUGAGAAAACUCAUUGUGAGCACAGCCAAGCCGAGAUAUUUUGAGAUGUGAUUCAGACCUGAGAAUGAAAAUGGGGGGAAUGGGGUGCUUGGGUUGAGAACAGAUGUAGCCCAUUUUUAAUGUAGUUAAAGUGUUAAAGUGGUGUGUCCCAAUAAAUAAAUACUUAACCCUUGGUUUCAA